RNAcentral lists this ribosomal RNA (297 nucleotides) under Cortinarius sanguineus. RNAcentral's name for it is "partial ribosomal RNA". The record is from RNAcentral. Lineage: Eukaryota; Fungi; Basidiomycota; Agaricomycetes; Agaricales; Cortinariaceae.
UUUCCGUAGGUGAACCUGCGGAAGGAUCAUUAUUGAAAUAAACCUGAUGGGUUGUUGCUGGCUCUCUAGGGAGCAUGUGCACACUUGUCAUCUUUAUAUCUCCACCUGUGCACCUUUUGUAGAUCUGGAUAAUUUUCUGAAUGCCCCUGGCAUUCAGGUUUGGGGAUUGACUUUGUCUUUCCUUACAUUUCCAGACCUAUGUUUUCUUCAUAUACACCAUGUAUGUUAUAGAAUGUAAUGAAAAGGCCUUUGUGCUACAAACCUAUACAACUUUCAGCAACGGAUCUCUUGGCUCUC